AUGGAGAGUUUGAUCCUGGCUCAGGACGAACGCUGGCGGCGUGCUUAACACAUGCAAGUCGAACGGAAAGGCCCGCUUGCGGGUACUCGAGUGGCGAACGGGUGAGUAACACGUGGGUGAUCUGCCUUGCACUCUGGGAUAAGCUUGGGAAACUGGGUCUAAUACCGGAUAGGAACCGUCUUUAGUGUGGUGGUUGGAAAGUUUUUUCGGUGCAAGAUGAGCUCGCGGCCUAUCAGCUUGUUGGUGGGGUGAUGGCCUACCAAGCCGACGACGGGUAGCCGGCCUGAGAGGGUGACCGGCCACACUGGGACUGAGACACGGCCCAGACUCCUACGGGAGGCAGCAGUGGGGAAUAUUGCGCAAUGGGCGAAAGCCUGACGCAGCGACGCCGCGUGAGGGAUGAAUGCCUUCGGGUUGUAAACCUCUUUCAGCAGGGAAGAAGCGAGAGUGACGGUACCUGCAGAAGAAGCACCGGCUAACUACGUGCCAGCAGCCGCGGUAAUACGUAGGGUGCAAGC
Molecule: ribosomal RNA, 518 nt
Filed under: Rhodella violacea
Lineage: Eukaryota; Rhodophyta; Rhodellophyceae; Rhodellales; Rhodellaceae
Description: partial Bacterial small subunit ribosomal RNA
Rfam family: Bacterial small subunit ribosomal RNA
Source: RNAcentral